Molecule: ribosomal RNA, 279 nt
Filed under: uncultured bacterium
Lineage: Bacteria
Description: partial 16S ribosomal RNA
Rfam family: Bacterial small subunit ribosomal RNA
Source: RNAcentral
UGCCAGCAGCCGCGGUAAUACGGAGGGGGUUAGCGUUGUUCGGAAUUACUGGGCGUAAAGCGCACGUAGGCGGAUUAGUAAGUUAGGGGUGAAAUCCCGGGGCUCAACCCCGGAACUGCCUCUAAUACUGCUAGUCUUGAGUUCGAGAGAGGUGAGUGGAAUUCCGAGUGUAGAGGUGAAAUUCGUAGAUAUUCGGAGGAACACCAGUGGCGAAGGCGGCUAACUGGCUCGGUACUGACACUGAAUCGCGAAAGCGUGGGGAGCGGACAGGAUUAGAUA